This 469-nucleotide ribosomal RNA is filed under the name uncultured bacterium. Its description in RNAcentral is "partial 16S ribosomal RNA". It matches the Rfam family "Bacterial small subunit ribosomal RNA", at positions 28 to 507 of the family's 1533-position model. The record is from RNAcentral.
GAUGAACGCUGGCGGCGUGCUUAACACAUGCAAGUCGAACGGUGAACACGGAGCUUGCUCUGUGGGAUCAGUGGCGAACGGGUGAGUAACACGUGAGCAACCUGCCCCUGACUCUGGGAUAAGCGCUGGAAACGGCGUCUAAUACUGGAUAUGUGACGUGACCGCAUGGUCUGCGUUUGGAAAGAUUUUUCGGUUGGGGAUGGGCUCGCGGCCUAUCAGCUUGUUGGUGAGGUAAUGGCUCACCAAGGCGUCGACGGGUAGCCGGCCUGAGAGGGUGACCGGCCACACUGGGAUUGAGACACGGCCCAGACUCCUACGGGAGGCAGCAGUGGGGAAUAUUGCACAAUGGGCGAAAGCCUGAUGCAGCAACGCCGCGUGAGGGAUGACGGCAUUCGGGUUGUAAACCUUUUUUAGCAGGGAAGAAGCGAAAGUGACGGUACCUGCAGAAAAAGCGCCGGCUAACUACGUG